Molecule: ribosomal RNA, 251 nt
Filed under: uncultured prokaryote
Description: partial 16S rRNA
Rfam family: Bacterial small subunit ribosomal RNA
Source: RNAcentral
ACGUAGGGGGCGAGCGUUGUCCGGAAUCACUGGGCGUAAAGGGUCCGUAGGCGGCCCUAUAAGUCUCACGUCAAAGCCCCAGGCUCAACUUGGGAUCGGCGCGGGAUACUGUCGAGCUUGAGGAUGGCAGAGGUGAGUGGAACGUUGCGAGUAGCGGUGAAAUGCAUAGAGAUGCAGCGGAACACCAAUGGCGAAGGCAGCUCGCUGGGCCAUCCCUGACGCUGAGGCACGAAAGCCAGGGUAGCAAACGG